UACGGAGGGGGCUAGCGUUGUUCGGAAUUACUGGGCGUAAAGCGCGCGUAGGCGGACCUGCAAGUCGGGGGUGAAAGCCCGAGGCUCAACCUCGGAACUGCCUUCGAUACUGCGGGUCUCGAGUCCGGGAGAGGUGAGUGGAAUUCCUAGUGUAGAGGUGAAAUUCGUAGAGAUCAGGAAGAACACCGGUGGCGAAAGCGCUCUGCUGGACCUUAACUGACACUGAGGGACGAAAGCUAGGGGAGCGAAUGGG
Molecule: ribosomal RNA, 253 nt
Filed under: uncultured bacterium
Lineage: Bacteria
Description: partial 16S ribosomal RNA
Rfam family: Bacterial small subunit ribosomal RNA
Source: RNAcentral